RNAcentral lists this ribosomal RNA (510 nucleotides) under uncultured bacterium. RNAcentral's name for it is "partial 16S ribosomal RNA". The record is from RNAcentral.
GGAGUUAGCCGGUGCUUCUUCUGCGAGUAACGUCACAGAUGUAAGGUAUUAACUUACACCCUUUCCUCCUCGCUGAAAGUGCUUUACAACCCGAAGGCCUUCUUCACACACGCGGCAUGGCUGCAUCAGGGUUUCCCCCAUUGUGCAAUAUUCCCCACUGCUGCCUCCCGUAGGAGUCUGGGCCGUGUCUCAGUCCCAGUGUGGCUGAUCAUCCUCUCAGACCAGCUAGGGAUCGUCGCCUAGAUGAGCCUUUACCUCACCUACUAGCUAAUCCCACCUGGGCUUAUCCAUCAGCGCAAGGCCCGAAGGUCCCCUGCUUUCCCCCGUAGGGCGUAUGCGGUAUUAGCAGUCGUUUCCAACUGUUAUCCCCCACAAAUGGGCAAAUUCCCAGGCAUUACUCACCCGUCCGCCGCUCGUCAUCUUCAAAGCAAGCUUUUGAAAUGUUACCGCUCGACUUGCAUGUGUUAGGCCUGCCGCCAGCGUUCAAUCUGAGCCAGGAUCAAACUCUGA